CGAGAGUUAGUUGUCCUCGUCGUCACGAGUACGAACGCUGGCGGCGUGCCUAACACAUGCAAGUCGAGCGAAGCACAAGAAUACGAUUCUUCGGAUGAAGAUUCCUGUGACUGAGCGGCGGACGGGUGAGUAACGCGUGGGUAACCUGCCUUACACGGGGGAUAACAGUUAGAAAUGACUGCUAAUACCGCAUAAGACCACAGUACUGCAUGGUACAGUGGUAAAAACUGAGGUGGUGUAAGAUGGACCCGCGUCUGAUUAGGUAGUUGGUGGGGUAACGGCCCACCAAGCCGACGAUCAGUAGCCGGCCUGAGAGGGUGGACGGCCACAUUGGGACUGAGACACGGCCUAGACUCCUACGGGAGGCAGCAGUGGGGAAUAUUGCACAAUGGGGGAAACCCUGAUGCAGCGACGCCGCGUGAGCGAUGAAGUAUUUCGGUAUGUAAAGCUCUAUCAGCAGGGAAGAAAAUGACGGUACCUGACUAAGAAGCCCCGGCUAACUACGUG
Molecule: ribosomal RNA, 507 nt
Filed under: uncultured Dorea sp.
Lineage: Bacteria; Bacillati; Bacillota; Clostridia; Lachnospirales; Lachnospiraceae
Description: bacterial SSU rRNA
Rfam family: Bacterial small subunit ribosomal RNA
Source: RNAcentral